This is a long non-coding RNA of Lepus europaeus (European hare), 1061 nucleotides long. RefSeq lists it as uncharacterized. Lineage: Eukaryota; Metazoa; Chordata; Mammalia; Lagomorpha; Leporidae. The record is from RefSeq and is a predicted model, not a curated record. The transcript has 3 exons.
GAGGAAAUCGAACAGAGGAGUCUGUUCACUAUUUAUUACAGGUUGCUUUCCCCUGAGCCUGCUUGACUUCACAGCUCAGCACUCCUGCCUUCCUGCUACUCAUUUAGUUUACUCUUUUGUUAAAUAAGAAGGAAGAAAAGAGAAAACCCAUGUUUUACUAUCCUCUGAACACAUUCUCAUCAUUUCAAGAAAGGAAAGAAGUUUUGGUAGAAAGUUUAAGAGCUUCAUCAAAGCAAAAAAAAAAAAAAAGCUUCAUUAAGCAAAAAAUCUUUUGUCAUCAGGGCCAAUGCUGUGGUGUAGGAGGUGAAGCUGCUGCCUGCAGUGCUGGCAUCCCAUGUGGGUGCCAAUUCAAGUCUCAGCUGCUCCACCUUCUGAUCCAGCUCUCUGCUAUGGCUUGGGAAAGCAGUGAAACAUGGCCCAAAUUCUUGGGACCCUGCACCUGCAUGGAGGACCCGGAAGAAGCUACUGGAUCCUAGCUUUCUGAUUGGCCCAGCUCCUGCCAUUGUGGCCAUCUGGGGAGUGAACCAGCAGAUGGAAGACCUCUCUCUCUCUUUGCCUCUAUCUCUCUGUAACUCUGCCUUUCAAAUAAACAAAUCUAAAAAAAAAUCAGAAUCACAAAUACUAAUACAAUAAAAUUGUUUAUUUUAUAAGUUUCCUAUUAAGUAGCUGAUAAUUUCAAUUUCCUGGCAUGCAAAUUUUUAAGCAUAUUCUCUUGGGUUCUUAUCAGCCUUCCUUAAGGUGUUACAUUUGCCAUGUUCCAUAUGCUUUCUUUGCAGGACAUUGCCUUUGAAGUUUGUCUAAUUUUAUGCAUGGUGCACAUAAGGAAAGACGUAAUAUGAAAGACAUUUGUAGAUUACCAAUUGGACAUCCAUUUUAAUAUCAAUGUAUCCUGUCUCAAGUAGGAACACAUUCAAUAAAUGUUUUUGGGUUUUCAAUGUUGUGACAAAUUCAUUGAAAAAAAUUCUCACAAUAGGCUGUGACUAAACUUAAUCUCUCUGUUUAAAACAAAGAAUGGCCUUAUUUCAUUUUUUUAAACGUGAUAAUGAAAAAAGCCUUCAUUA